GCUUUUAAUUGAAGUCUGGAAUGAAAGGUAAAUACUGAAAAGAAAGUUUUAUUAAGUAAAGUUGAAUUUAAAUUAAAAGUAAAAAUGCUUUUAUAAAUUUUUGGGACGAGAAGACCCUAGAAACUUAAAAUUAUAUAAAAUUUUUGAUUGGGGCAAUCAGCUGAAGAAAAGAAUUUUUGGUUAAAAUUUUGUAUUUAAAUCUUAUGAAGUUACUCUAGGGAUAACAGCAUUAUUUAAUUAGCAAGUUCUUAUUAAUAAUUAAGAUUGUGACCUCGAUGUUGAAUUAAUUUUGAUUUUUGGUGAAGAAGCUAGAAACUUUUAGUCUGUUCGACUAUUAAAAUUUUACAUGAUUUGAGUUCAAACCGGUGUAAGCCAGGUCGGUUCUUAUC
RNAcentral lists this ribosomal RNA (389 nucleotides) under Acrogonyleptes rhinoceros. RNAcentral describes it as "partial large subunit ribosomal RNA". The stretch from base 104 to 389 matches the Rfam family "Bacterial large subunit ribosomal RNA", at positions 2078 to 2642 of the family's 2925-position model. Lineage: Eukaryota; Metazoa; Arthropoda; Arachnida; Opiliones; Gonyleptidae. The record is from RNAcentral.